CAGCACCUCAAGUGGUCAGGAUGAUUAUUGGGCCUAAAGCAUCCGUAGCCGGCGCUGUAAGUUUUCGGUUAAAUCUGUACGCUCAACGUACAGGCUGCCGGGAAUACUGCAGCGCUAGGGAGUGGGAGAGGUAGACGGUACUCGGUAGGAAGGGGUAAAAUCCUUUGAUCUAUUGAUGACCACCUGUGGCGAAGGCGGUCUACCAGAACACGUCCGACGGUGAGGGACGAAAGCCAGGGGAGCAAACCGGAUUAGAUACCCGAGUAGUCC
Molecule: ribosomal RNA, 270 nt
Filed under: uncultured archaeon
Lineage: Archaea
Description: partial 16S ribosomal RNA
Rfam family: Archaeal small subunit ribosomal RNA
Source: RNAcentral